This 898-nucleotide ribosomal RNA is filed under the name uncultured bacterium. RNAcentral's name for it is "bacterial SSU rRNA". It matches the Rfam family "Bacterial small subunit ribosomal RNA", at positions 33 to 914 of the family's 1533-position model. The record is from RNAcentral.
ACGCUGGCGGCGUGCCUAAUACAUGCAAGUAGAACGCUGAAGGAGGAGCUUGCUUCUCUGGAUGAGUUGCGAACGGGUGAGUAACGCGUAGGUAACCUGCCUGGUAGCGGGGGAUAACUAUUGGAAACGAUAGCUAAUACCGCAUAACAGUAGAUGUUGCAUGACAUUUGCUUAAAAGGUGCAAUUGCAUCACUACCAGAUGGACCUGCGUUGUAUUAGCUAGUUGGUGGGGUAACGGCUCACCAAGGCGACGAUACAUAGCCGACCUGAGAGGGUGAUCGGCCACACUGGGACUGAGACACGGCCCAGACUCCUACGGGAGGCAGCAGUAGGGAAUCUUCGGCAAUGGACGGAAGUCUGACCGAGCAACGCCGCGUGAGUGAAGAAGGUUUUCGGAUCGUAAAGCUCUGUUGUAAGAGAAGAACAGGAGUGAGAGUGGAAAGUUCACACUGUGACGGUAUCUUACCAGAAAGGGACGGCUAACUACGUGCCAGCAGCCGCGGUAAUACGUAGGUCCCGAGCGUUGUCCGGAUUUAUUGGGCGUAAAGCGAGCGCAGGCGGUUAGAUAAGUCUGAAGUUAAAGGCUGUGGCUUAACCAUAGUACGCUUUGGUAACUGUUUAACUUGAGUGCAAGAGGGGAGAGUGGAAUUCCAUGUGUAGCGGUGAAAUGCGUAGAUAUAUGGAGGAACACCGGUGGCGAAAGCGGCUCUCUGGCUUGUAACUGACGCUGAGGCUCGAAAGCGUGGGGAGCAAACAGGAUUAGAUACCCCUGGUAGUCCACGCCGUAAACGAUGAGUGCUAGGUGUUAGACCCUUUCCGGGGUUUAGUGCCGCAGCUAACGCAUUAAGCACUCCGCCUGGGGAGUACGACCGCAAGGUUGAAACUCAAAGGAAUUGAC